This 253-nucleotide ribosomal RNA is filed under the name uncultured bacterium. RNAcentral describes it as "partial 16S ribosomal RNA". It matches the Rfam family "Bacterial small subunit ribosomal RNA", at positions 524 to 776 of the family's 1533-position model. The record is from RNAcentral.
UACGUAGGUGGCGAGCGUUGUCCGGAUUUAUUGGGCGUAAAGCGCGCGCAGGCGGUGCGGUAAGUCCGUCGUGAAAUCUCCUGGCUCAACUGGGAGGGCGCACCGAAGACUGGCGGACUGGAGGGCAUCAGAGGAAAGCGGAACUCCCGGUGUAGUGGUGAAAUGCGUAGAGAUCGGGAAGAACACCUGUGGCGAAGGCGGCUUUCUGGGGUGUACCUGACGCUGAGGCGUGAAAGCGUGGGGAGCGAACCGG